RNAcentral lists this ribosomal RNA (253 nucleotides) under Faecalibacterium prausnitzii. Its description in RNAcentral is "partial 16S ribosomal RNA". It matches the Rfam family "Bacterial small subunit ribosomal RNA", at positions 524 to 776 of the family's 1533-position model. The record is from RNAcentral. Lineage: Bacteria; Bacillati; Bacillota; Clostridia; Eubacteriales; Oscillospiraceae.
AACGUAGGUCGCAAGCGUUGUCCGGAAUUACUGGGUGUAAAGGGAGCGCAGGCGGGAAGACAAGUUGGAAGUGAAAUCCAUGGGCUCAACCCAUGAACUGCUUUCAAAACUGUUUUUCUUGAGUAGUGCAGAGGUAGGCGGAAUUCCCGGUGUAGCGGUGGAAUGCGUAGAUAUCGGGAGGAACACCAGUGGCGAAGGCGGCCUACUGGGCACCAACUGACGCUGAGGCUCGAAAGUGUGGGUAGCAAACAGG